UACGGGAGGCAGCGGUGGGGAAUAUUGCACAAUGGGCGAAAGCCUGAUGCAGCUAUGCCGCGUGUAUGAAGAAGGCCUUAGGGUUGUAAAGUACUUUCAUCGGGGAGGAAAAACAAAACUAAUAAUUUUAUUUCUUGACGUUACCCGAAAAAGAAGCACCGGCUAACUCCGUGCCAGCAGCCGCGGUAAUACGGAGGGUGCUAGCGUUAAUCAGAAUUACUGGGCGUAAAGAGCACGUAGGUGGUUUUUUUAAAGUCAGAUGUGAAAUCCCUGGGCUUAACCUGGAACUGCAUUUUGAAACUGAAAUACUAGAGUAUCGUAGAGGGAGGUAGAAUUCUAGGUGUAGCGGUGAAAUGCGUAGAUAUCUGGAGGAAUACCUGUGGCGAAAGCGGCCUCCUAAACGAAUACUGACACUGAGGGUGCGAAAGCGUGGGGAGCAAACAGGGAUUAGAUACC
RNAcentral lists this ribosomal RNA (456 nucleotides) under uncultured bacterium. RNAcentral's name for it is "bacterial SSU rRNA". It matches the Rfam family "Bacterial small subunit ribosomal RNA", at positions 340 to 786 of the family's 1533-position model. The record is from RNAcentral.